CCGUGCUAGAUGGGGAGGUAGCGGAUCCUUGUAACUCGCAAUCCGCUCUAGCGAGAUGGAAUUCCUGCGUAAGGGCUACGUUUGUGGAGCAGCCCAGGUAUCAGGUGUGAUGAGAUUUUGGUCUCACGCAACAGAACUCUUCGAACCGUGUCAGGUCCUGACGGAAGCAGCACUAAGGAGUUCGUUCUGUGUGCCGUGGGGUAGCCUGGAUCGAGCAACUGAUCUUGGUAACGUCCGGAAACGUUAGUUCAAACAAAGGUGCACGG
This 266-nucleotide signal recognition particle RNA is filed under the name Desulfitobacterium hafniense. RNAcentral describes it as "signal recognition particle sRNA large type". It matches the Rfam family "Bacterial large signal recognition particle RNA". Rfam says of the family: The signal recognition particle (SRP) is a universally conserved ribonucleoprotein involved in the co-translational targeting of proteins to membranes. Archaeal SRP consists of a 7S RNA and homologues of the eukaryotic SRP19 and SRP54 proteins. The record is from RNAcentral. Lineage: Bacteria; Bacillati; Bacillota; Clostridia; Eubacteriales; Desulfitobacteriaceae.